CUGGGGAUUGAAGGUCAGGGUGGAAAUGGCUGCCUUUCUGGCUGCCAUUUUCAAGGUCCCACUGUCUUUCCAAGCUUUGGCUGGAGAAGAGGGAAAUGUCACUAGCAGAUGGGGUGUUACCAUCUCCCGUGCACACUGGCAUCCACGGUCAUAGGAGAUCCUCAUGAUGACUCAAAUGUCAGGACCCUCCACUUUUCCACCAGUUUGUCCACCGGUGAAAAGGAGAAGCCAGCCAAGAACCAGCAGCUUCUGGCUACCUUGAUCAGAAGGUUGAUGAAGGCAAUGAAACAAAGAUGGAAAAACACAUCACACAGGCCCUUACCAGAUGCCAGCAUCUUGAUAUUGGACUUCCCAGCCUUCAGAACUCCUGACCAUUUAAAGAAUGAAAAUGUGUUCACAUGAGGAAACCAAGGGUGUGGCCAACAAACCGUUGGAUAAGGCUCCAGUCAAGCAACCCACCUUAUCAAGUGGACCAGGCACAGCUCCUACUUAUCCCUGAGUAGUGGGUAUCAGUUUCCUGCUAACCUCGGAAUUGUUCAAAGCCCAUCAUAUUCUCCUGCAGGAACCAGGGAGCACCUCACCCUCUUGUUGCUACAAAGCUUGCCACCCACAGCCCCUGCCUGUUCACCCUGCUCUUGAGGGCAACCCCUGUAUGGCCAGCAUCCCAUGCUGUGUUCACCUCUCCCAGGCUGCGAGUGUAGUGAAUAAUAACUGCCGUCAAUCGCAUCUGUUAAGCAUCAAGUGUAAUGUGUUUGGUCAUCCUCAUAAUUCUAGUGUGGAAUGUCUCCCUCACCAAUGGGGUGAACAGGAGGGAAUGAAAACAAUGUGUAAAAUAUUUAGACACCGCAAGAUACAUAUUUAGAGCCUGGCAAAUGUUAGUUAAGGCCAUUAUUGCUAUUAUUUUGCAAAAGGAUAAUAAUUUGGUUUUCUUUUAACAAAAUUUGUUUGGGCAGAGUGCUUAGCUCAUAGUGUUAUUCUUAGGUUCCUCCAAACAGCUUUUCUGGAAUUUUGUUUCCCUCAUUAGCAAUUACAAAGAUAUGCUAAUGCUCUGCACCAAGUGGCAGCUACAUGCUUGAGACCAACACUGAAAAUCAGUCAUGGAAUCACUGCAUAUCUGAACAAGGGCCACGAGAGGAGGCACAGAUGGGUCAAUUGACUUGAGCAGAGCCACCCAGCAAAUUCAGUGUCAGAGUAUGGUAACUAGAUCUCCUGAUCCAACCAUCCUUCCCUGCACCCUCCCAUCUAGGCUAAUGAGGAGAAAUGUAAUCGCGGUGGUAAUUGCAGGCAAAGAUGAGCAUCACUCGGUAAAGCAGUAUGUGUACUUGAGUUGGCCAUAUGGAAAAUCCAGUGCAGGAUAUGGGGGUGAAUGGUCAGUUGCUGUGUGUCAUUGGUGGGAUGGAAUCUAUGGCCUUCUUGGCUAUUCUUUACAUGAAACAUUUCCUGGGGGUGAUGGUCCAGUUAAAAGUCCUCUUACAGAUAAAAUAAAACUAACUCAAACCAGUAUGUCAUACUUCACCAGUCUGGUGUUUCAACCAGGGAAGCCCAUGCCAAGAUGAGAAAGAAGUCUACCCUUCCCGUGGCUGAGCUGUGGCUCCUCCUUAUCAGUUCCUAGUAGGAGAAGCUAUGUUCCCCCUAGGCUAGAGGACUUCACAUUCUGGACACUGGCGGCUCAGGGGAGCUCUGUUGUACCACCACUGUGGCCCCAGAACCUGCUGUUGCUGUCCAAAUCCGGGGAGUCUAAGGAAAUGUCCCAUUCUCACCGCUGCUAAUAGUGAUUAGCAAGCUAAUGCAACAUGUCCAGCUUUACCACACUCUCCCACUGUCCCCAGUGGCUGCUUUUUAUGGCUAUGCAAGUAAACACCAUCAGCCUGGGAA
Pan troglodytes (chimpanzee) is the source of this 1875-nucleotide long non-coding RNA. RefSeq lists it as uncharacterized. The transcript is spliced from 6 exons. The record is from RefSeq and is a predicted model, not a curated record. Lineage: Eukaryota; Metazoa; Chordata; Mammalia; Primates; Hominidae.